Molecule: non-coding RNA, 121 nt
Organism: Picea glauca (white spruce)
Lineage: Eukaryota; Viridiplantae; Streptophyta; Pinopsida; Pinales; Pinaceae
Source: Rfam
ACAUGCAUAGAACAUAGCGUUAAUGCACCAAAUCCCAUUAGAAGUUUGUAGUUAAGUGUGCUCGAGAUAGAGUAGUACCGGGAUGGGUGAUUGCCUGGGAAGUCCUAGUAUUUUACAUGCU